This 192-nucleotide ribosomal RNA is filed under the name uncultured Gammaproteobacteria bacterium. RNAcentral describes it as "partial 16S ribosomal RNA". It matches the Rfam family "Bacterial small subunit ribosomal RNA", at positions 338 to 521 of the family's 1533-position model. Lineage: Bacteria; Pseudomonadati; Pseudomonadota; Gammaproteobacteria. The record is from RNAcentral.
CCUACGGGAGGCAGCAGUGGGGAAUAUUGGACAAUGGGCGAAAGCCUGAUCCAGCCAUGCCGCGUGUGUGAAGAAGGCCUUUUGGUUGUAAAGCACUUUAAGCGAGGAGGAGGCUACUUAGAUUAAUACUCUAGGAUAGUGGACGUUACUCGCAGAAUAAGCACCGGCUAACUCUGUGCCAGCAGCCGCGGU